AGUGAACGCUGGCGGUAGGCCUAACACAUGCAAGUCGAACGGCAGCACAGUAAGAGCUUGCUCUUACGGGUGGCGAGUGGCGGUCGGGUGAGGAAUACAUCGGAAUCUACUUUUUCGUGGGGGAUAACGUAGGGAAACUUACGCUAAUACCGCAUACGCCCUACGGGUGAAAGCAGGGGAUCUUCGGACCUUGCGCGAUUGAAUGAGCCGAUGUCGGAUUAGCUAGUUGGCGGGGUAAAGGCCCACCAAGGCGACGAUCCGUAGCUGGUCUGAGAGGAUGAUCAGCCACACUGGAACUGAGACACGGUCCAGACUCCUACGGGAGGCAGCAGUGGGGAAUAUUGGACAAUGGGCGCAAGCCUGAUCCAGCCAUACCGCGUGGGUGAAGAAGGCCUUCGGGUUGUAAAGCCCUUUUGUUGGGAAAGAAAAGCAGCAGGUUAAUACCCCGCUGUUCUGACGGUACCCAAAGAAUAAGCACCGGCUAACUUCGUG
This 492-nucleotide ribosomal RNA is filed under the name uncultured bacterium. RNAcentral's name for it is "partial 16S ribosomal RNA". It matches the Rfam family "Bacterial small subunit ribosomal RNA", at positions 29 to 507 of the family's 1533-position model. The record is from RNAcentral.